AUGACCUGCAAGGAUCUAUCCCAACGUCCUUAUGUAAUUGUACUAAACAAACCUCCAUCGAUCUCUCUUACUACAAUUUAUUUCUACCAUGCCUACUACAGUAAGAACACUCGGGAAUUUAAUGAGCCUCUCCACUUUUUUGCAGAUUUACCCCAUCUUGUCAGUCUGGACCUCAGUAGCAACUCUCUCUGGGGCGUAAUUCCAUCAAGUAUUGGCGCUCUUGCCAAGCUCGCGCUCUUAGAUCUAUCCUUCAAUCUUCUUGAUGGACCCAUCCCGCCAUCCAUAGGUAGUUGUACUAAACUAACCUCUCUUGAUCUCUCACAUAAUAUUUUGUCCAAAAGAUCAAUUCGAAGCAUAGGAAAUUUGAUGAGUUUACGAUACUUAGAUCUUUCCAACAAUCAAAUAAAUGGUUCCUUCCCUUCGCCAUUUUGA
Molecule: ribosomal RNA, 432 nt
Filed under: Triticum aestivum (bread wheat)
Lineage: Eukaryota; Viridiplantae; Streptophyta; Magnoliopsida; Poales; Poaceae
Description: partial small subunit ribosomal RNA
Source: RNAcentral